Molecule: microRNA precursor, 78 nt
Filed under: Cavia porcellus (domestic guinea pig)
Lineage: Eukaryota; Metazoa; Chordata; Mammalia; Rodentia; Caviidae
Description: miRNA (ENSCPOG00000032968.1)
Source: RNAcentral
CCUGGAACUCACUUUGUAGCCCAGGCUGGCCUGGAACUCACAGCGAUCUUCUUGCCUCAGCCUCCUGAGUGCUGGGAU